This 1167-nucleotide long non-coding RNA is filed under the name Canis lupus familiaris (dog). Its description in RNAcentral is "lncRNA (ENSCAFG00000051355.1)". The record is from RNAcentral. Lineage: Eukaryota; Metazoa; Chordata; Mammalia; Carnivora; Canidae.
AUUUGAAAGUGCCUAGUAGAAUGCCUGGCAUACAGUUGGUGCUCAGCAAAUAUUAAAAUUAAACAAAAGGACUAACAGUAACAACAAACAAAUAAACAAAUAAAAACAUGCUAGGCACUGGAUGGAACAACUAUAGCUGUUUCCAUCUGAUAGCUGAGGUUCAGAGACCUUAAGUCACCGGGCAAAAACGACACAGAUAUAUGAACUUAACCAAACUCAAUCUCUCUUACCCUCAAUUUCCCCAUGAGAAAAGUGGGAAUAGAAAUAGGUAAUGCUCACAUUGCCAUAAAGAUAAACUGAAAUAGUACAUCCAAGAAUGGCUAGAUGAUACAUAGCACAGAGUCAAAAAACAAAAACAAACAGACGAACAAAAAACAAGAAAAGGAAAGGAAGCAAAAACCAAAAGAUAAAGGAGAGAAUAAAGGGAAAAAAACUACACUUUGGGAAUUAGAGACAAAAUUAUUUUUCCCAUGCAGCUACCGCAAAAAUUGAGGAUUAUAAUACAUAAAUAUUAUGCCCAGCAUCACACUGCUUGAUGCUGGCAAAAUGGAACUUGACUCAUCUCCUUGCAUCAGUAGGCUUUUUCCAUUACUAAGCUCAUUUGUUGCUCCUUACCAAGUCCAUAGCCCGCAAGGCUACUCUGAGGAUAUUUAGUGUUAUGAGCAAAUCUGUAUUCCAGGCAUACAGAAGAGCUUUGUUCAUACAUCCCAUAUUGGAAUUCCAGAUUGAGGGAAUGCCAGGUUGUACAGAGAAGGCUGUAGGUCACUGUCAGACCAUAAUUGUCCUUUAAAAUAUUCUCCUGUAGAGAAAGGAAUUCAAUUUAAUAAAAUUGAGUAAAUUGAAAAAAGUAAAGACUAUGGCAAGGAAGCUAAGAGGUCAGGUUCUGAAGUUAGACUGACAAGGGUAUGAGUCUGAGCCUACCACUAUCUUGGGCAAAUCAAGUAAAAUUCUUUUCUAUAAAAUGGAGAUAAUUUCUACUUCUUGAGAUUGCUGUGCAGAUUAAAUGGCACAAUACAUGUAAAGUUCUCAGGAGAGUGUCUAAAAUAGCUCUCUAUUAAUGUUAACUACGGAGUCAUCCAAGCACACCCGUAUAGAGGCUGCAUUCCUAUGGAACCUCAUAUAGGUACUCCCUGGACAGUAAAAUACUCUAUUUUGGCCCACACCUAA